This 528-nucleotide ribosomal RNA is filed under the name uncultured eukaryote. RNAcentral describes it as "SSU rRNA". It matches the Rfam family "Eukaryotic small subunit ribosomal RNA", at positions 326 to 879 of the family's 1831-position model. The record is from RNAcentral.
UGGUAGUGUAUUGGACUACCAUGGCAGUCACGGGUAACGGAGAAUUAGGUCGAUUCCGGAGAGGGAGCCUGAGAAACGGCUACCACAUCUACGGAAGGCAGCAGGCGCGUAAAUUACCCAAUCCUGAUUCAGGGAGGUAGUGACAAGAAAUAACAACUCGGGGCCUCACGGCUUACGAGAUUGCAAUGAGAACAAUUUAAAUCUCUUAGCGAGGGAACAAUUGGAGGGCAAGUCUGGUGCCAGCAGCCGCGGUAAUUCCAGCUCCAAUAGCGUAUAUUAAAGUUGUUGCAGUUAAAAAGCUCGUAGUUGAAUUUCUGAUUAUGGAUGUAGCGGUUUCCGUUACAUUUGUAGUCAUCCACAUGAGAACCUUUCUCGGCCUUCACUGGUCGGUUGGGGGAUCAUGUACUUACUUUGAAAAAUCAGAGUGUUUCAGGCAGGCGUUUGCAUGAAUACACAAGCAUGGAAUAAUGGAAUAGGACUAGGGUCCAUUUUAUUGGUUAUUGGACCAUAGUAAUGAUUAAUAGGGAC